ACAGCUCAAAUUUGAAAUCUGGCCCUUGGGUCCGAAUUGUAAUUUGUAGAGGAUGUUUUUGGUGCGGUAUCUUCCGAGUUCCUUGGAACAGGACGCCUUAGAGGGUGAGAGCCCCGUACGGUUGAAUGCCUAGCCUUUGUAAAACUCCUUCGACGAGUCGAGUAGUUUGGGAAUGCUGCUCUAAAUGGGAGGUAAAUUUCUUCUAAAGCUAAAUACUGGCCAGAGACCGAUA
This 232-nucleotide ribosomal RNA is filed under the name Amphisphaeriaceae sp. RNAcentral describes it as "partial large subunit ribosomal RNA". It matches the Rfam family "Eukaryotic large subunit ribosomal RNA", at positions 104 to 339 of the family's 3401-position model. The record is from RNAcentral. Lineage: Eukaryota; Fungi; Ascomycota; Sordariomycetes; Amphisphaeriales; Amphisphaeriaceae.